RNAcentral lists this long non-coding RNA (1330 nucleotides) under Salmo salar (Atlantic salmon). Its description in RNAcentral is "lncRNA (ENSSSAG00000093890.1, ENSSSAG00075034692.1)". Lineage: Eukaryota; Metazoa; Chordata; Actinopteri; Salmoniformes; Salmonidae. The record is from RNAcentral.
CCUCGGAGGCAAAAACAAGGUCAAAUCAUGACGGCAGUGGUCUUCAGAACACAUUGGACAAGAAGAUCCAAUGUGAUGGACCUUGGACCUCCAAUAAGGUGGAGAAGGAUGCGAGGAAUCGCAGAAAGACAAAUUGAGAUUGAGCCCUUGUCUUGUUACCACACCACAUAGUGAUGAACAGUCCAGGCGGAUACCUCUUCCAGGGCUGUGGGUAGGCUGUAUGCCAUGAGGCCCCUAGGUUCAAUCUGCUUUGACAGGAAGACCAAAGGAGAUCUAGGAGGAUAUAACCUUCAGGGCCUCCUUUUCAAGUGUGGCUUCUCACGCCACUGAAGCAGUAUAGAAAUCAAUGACUCUUCCCGAUGCUGGUGAUUACAGUGAACAAGGAGGUGUCGAGGUGCGCACAUGCCUGUGUGGGUGCAGUUGUGCAAAUGUGUGUAUGCGUGCGUGCAUGUAUAUGUGUAUUUGGUUAUAAGAAGGAGGCUGUGUCGUCAGGCCAGCUCAGCCUUGGAUACUCUUAGCUUCACACCUUGGCACAACAAAUCAAUAAUGUAUGCGUGUGCGAUCGUGUUUGGGGGUAUAAUUAAGCAGCCGGACAGCUUCCUCCGUGAGCGAUUUCUGUUGCGUUGUUACACAUUGAGUUAAACAGUGCUUUGGCUGUCUAAUGAAAUUCUCCCAUUCAAUUGACUCCUCAGUCAUGUGACAAGGGUCAGGAGGACUCCAUGGCGGUGCCCUUGGAGUUGGUGAUUGAUUGGCUGUUUAUUAGCUACCACACUCCGAAGGAGGGAUAGAAAACACUUGACUGUGGCCCAGUCAGGUGGACGUGUCCCUGUGUAGAGAAGAGGGCAAGCCUGUUCCCUCUCUCCCACCUCAAAGGUUCCGGGACUUAGCUGUAGAUAAAGGAGCUUUAAUGCAUGUCUAGAAUCUCAAGAAUUACUGGGGAGACCUGGUCAGUUCAGGUUAUUUAAUCUACCUGGAGCGCCUUGUUUCACUUUGCUCUGGUCCAACCGAGCUGUGAUCAAUACCGGUCAGAUGCUAAUGUCAACUUGGUCAAGAAUCCAUCCAGAGAAAAAGAGGCCUGGAGAAUAACAAAGCCAAAACCUGACCGAAAUAAAAUAAAAUCACUAUUUUGUUAGCUUGUCUGCAUUCUCCGCAACCCCCCUGCAGGCCAGACGUUAAACUAGUCAUUUGGAACAUUCAAGAGGAUCUCCUGCUGACCGGUUUAGCACAUCUGACAGUGUCCUGCUGGCGACCAGAAAAGGCAGCCGAUCCAGCGGUGCAUAUAAUCCUCUGGGCUAAAGUUAGAGGUUAAAGCUUCCUCAGGCACUACCAC